RNAcentral lists this ribosomal RNA (242 nucleotides) under uncultured Actinomycetales bacterium. RNAcentral's name for it is "partial 16S ribosomal RNA". It matches the Rfam family "Bacterial small subunit ribosomal RNA", at positions 88 to 334 of the family's 1533-position model. The record is from RNAcentral. Lineage: Bacteria; Bacillati; Actinomycetota; Actinomycetes; Actinomycetales.
UACUCGAGCGGCGAACGGGUGAGUAACACGUGGGUGAUCUGCCCUGCACUUCGGGAUAAGCCUGGGAAACUGGGUCUAAUACCGGAUAGGACCACAUUUUGGAUGGUGUGGUGGAAAGUUUUUCGGUGUGGGAUGAGCUCGCGGCCUAUCAGCUUGUUGGUGGGGUAAUGGCCUACCAAGGCGUCGACGGGUAGCCGGCCUGAGAGGGUGUACGGCCACAUUGGGACUGAGAUACGGCCCAG